GUCGGCCUGUGAUACAGACCUAUUUAUGUUCGAGUUUAGAUUUAGAUGUUGAGUUAUGCAGUUCCUUCAAAGUCGUUAUCUUUCGAUUCCGCUUCAAAGACGAACCUUCUAAGUAUCUCCCAUAAGUAAUGUUUCUGAAAACGGCCACCAUUGCCUUAUGGCAGAUUUUGUAAAUAUAUUUAAAGGUAAAAGUAAUGUCUAAGAAGACUGGUCAAGUUAAGUGGUUCAACGAGAGCAAAGGUUUUGGUUUCAUUGAGCAACACGACGGCGGUAAAGACGUAUUCGUACACUUCUCCGCAAUCAUGACCGACGGUUUCAAGACUCUGGCUGAAGGCCAGCGUGUCGAGUAUACCAUCCAGGACAGCCCGCGCGGGCCGGCUGCCGCCAACGUUGUUGCUCUGUAAUCACAGUCAAUAGCGUAAACGUUCUUAAUACAACCGGGACACGGGCACUAUU
RNAcentral lists this small RNA (456 nucleotides) under Serratia odorifera DSM 4582. RNAcentral's name for it is "cspA thermoregulator". It matches the Rfam family "cspA thermoregulator". The record is from Rfam by way of RNAcentral. Lineage: Bacteria; Pseudomonadati; Pseudomonadota; Gammaproteobacteria; Enterobacterales; Yersiniaceae.